This is a long non-coding RNA of Amphiprion ocellaris (clown anemonefish), 5507 nucleotides long. RefSeq lists it as uncharacterized. NCBI's taxonomy places the organism in Eukaryota, Metazoa, Chordata, Actinopteri, Pomacentridae. The transcript is spliced from 5 exons. The record is from RefSeq and is a predicted model, not a curated record.
UUGAAAACUUCCUCGACAUGGUGCCAGGUGGUCAGUUUGGAGCCAUCUCCGAGCAAAUAUUCAGUUAGCAUUAGGUUAGACCUGGCAGUCUCGUUCAAAGUUGUGAAAAUAUACCUCUGCCACAGAAAUAUUGUUUGAAUCCUCUGUACUAUUGAUAUAGCACUUUACUCCAGUGAUUGUUUGACCAAUGAGAAUUUGGUUUGAUCAGAGCAUACUGACCGACCAACUGACCGGUUGAUGCUCCAGCUCCAGAGAAUAUGUUUGUGUAUCUUGCCUGAUUGGAUUUUGUGUAUUCCUGCUUUGGCUGGAAGCUUUGGGGGCCUUUAAGGACUCUUGUCUCAUGAUCUGCCCAUACAUCUGGCAUUUUUUUCAAAGACGGAAAAUCACCAGGGGACAUUUGUUUCAACAAGGUGCUCCAGUUUCUUCUCGCAGCCCAAAGACAUGCAGGUUGGGUUAAUUGGACACUCUCUAAAGCCUUAAGCUGUGACGGUGAGCCAACAUGCACAGCAACAAAACCCAGAAGCAACCAGCAAUCAUUUAUUAUUUACAUCUGUACUUUUCCUGUGGUAACAAAUCUAAAAGUCUAAAGUGAAAACUGCAUUUGGUUGUUUAUCUUUACACGUCAGUGCUGUAACAGGCUGAAGUUACUCUGCAUUCUUUUGCUGUUGUGUUCAGAUACAUCAAUAAAAUAUGCAGAUAAUCAACAGAUGUUACUUUGAUGAUUUUAUGUGGGAGAAAUUGUUUUUUGAGUGCAUUUGUUUCAGAUUUCUUACAUUUAGGGCAAGAGCUUUAUUGCAUGUUAGCCUUCAUCUCUCUCCCCUCAUUUCAUAUCAUCUCCACUAGGUGCUAUUGAAUAAAAGCACAUAAUACCUGCAUAAAAAGUCAAAAUCCAAUGACUCAGUAGUCAUCACUCAUGUAUCAGUGCAGCGUUGCUUUGUAGAAUUUCUAGCAACUAGUUCACUGAGUAAAUUAAAUUUUUAGUGGACUGUGUAAGACAUUCAUUACCUUGUACAAGGUCAAAUGUAGUGGACAAACUUAUGUGAGUAAAUUCCCCAAACCUGAAUUGUCAUCCUUUUUUAAAAUUUCAUAGAUAAUAACAUUGGAUAGCUUAAUAUUACAUGUAGAGCAAAAUUUUGCCAAAUUUGAAACAUCCCUGGUUUUCAAUUUCAAUUUAGAAAUCUGGUCAAUUCAAUUUAAAGGAUAUUUCCAGUUUAAUUUUAUGCACGGAUGAAAUAGCAGCGUGAUCAAGUCAGACAGUACGUAUCCUUGGAUGGAGAUGCCCAAUGCAGUUAACAAAAUGUCCAGUGCUGAGGACAAAUUUCUCUGGAGGCUUUCAGUCAGACCCUAAAACUUAAAUUUUGAAAAUUAUUUACCACAAAAUUUGUUUUUUGGGAAGCAUGGCAGGAGUUUGUACAACUCCUUUUCCUGAAUCUCUCCAACAGAGGCGGAGAAUGCAAAAUUAGUAUGACUCAUAGAGCCAGAGUGGCCGUAUUAAUGGGAAUUAUAGUAGUUUUAUGGUUGGAAUAAACAGAGACUCCUCAUAAAGUUAGCUGGUAUAUGUUUUGAAGGCAGUAAAAAUCAAUGUGUGUUCAACCAGUUCAGAGCCGCAGCUUUUAGUUAUUCGCUGUGUUUGGAUUUGCAGGUGAUGGAAACCUGCUUUUUGCACACAAAUUCUCCGUCCUACUGUAAAACCACUCUACAGCGUCUCCCACAAUGCAGCGACAAUGCUCGAGAAAUAAUUCCAUUUCCAGCUGCAUGUUACAAACAGAACAAUUGUGCGACGCCGCAGGUUAAUUCACGGCUUUGAUGGAUGCUGAAUCAAGGCUGUCGCUGCGAGCACAGAAGAAGCCACGGCAAUUAGAAAAGCCCUGUGUGUGAGAGUUGGCUGCUGCAUGCACCGCUGGGCAUAAAUGAGUCUAGCAGCCCGGGCAACGUAGGCAGGGCUUUAACACAACACCACAGACACGCCUAAGACUCCCAUUGUGCCUCUCGCUAAUCCAUUUCCAUCCUAACAAGCUGCUGCCUUCGAACCCAGCCAUCCAACCGCAAGCCUGUCCACCGUCUGCUGGGCUUGGUUCAGCUCCAGUGUUCUGACUUUCAGCAGCCAUUUUAAGCUCUCUCUGGCAGCACUCGCCCUCCUCUGUGUCGAGACAAAGCUGCAAUGUUUUCUGCAUUGAAGUGCUGCUACUGUACUUGCUUGAAUGCAUGUUGCUCUGAGUGGCUGGCUGUAGUUUUUAGUCAGUAUUAGGUUCAUUCCAGAAUUGGAGGACAUUUGGGCUUCAACAUUUUUGAAAAAUUAACCUUCUCUUUUACAAUUUUCUGCUACAUAUUCUUCAAUAAUAGGUAAUAAACUAUUAGAGGCUUGACUGGCUCAGCUUACACAUCAAUGGUACAAUUUUUAUGAUGUUUUAUUUGUUGCUUGCUAACCCUACUCUAAACACAGUAACAGGGUUGCUAAUUCAUGCUAAUGUUAGCUUUUUCUCAGCAGUAGAAGUUAGAUAUUUAGCUAGCUGUUACUGCUGACCAAGAGGACAAACUGAUUGAUGGAAAAAAGUCAAAAGAAUUUGUCUUAUCCUGAUAGUAUGAGGUAGAGUGAGACAUUCAAAAAAGGCUGACAAUGUUAUGAAAAUAUGGAAAAUUGUUUGAUAAUGUUAAUUCCAGUGUAUCGUGUGAUUCAAAGUUUUCUUCUUCUUCUACCUGCUAAAAAGGUUAUGCUAACAGGGUUGUUGUGGGAGACACGUUCCAUGCACAAUAUGGAAUAUGCAAAAUAUUAUGUUGAUUAAAAAAUGUUCCCACUAUUACAAGAGACAUCAAUACAAAAAACAAAAAACAAAAACAAAAAAACACUAUUGGUCAUACUUUGGUCAUCAUCUGGGUGGGACAAGGGAAAAAUGACAUUUUCAGAGGAACUCCAGACUUAUUUGGUGUUGUAAAAAAUAUUUUCAAGCAUUCUUUUCUCUUAGUUAUUUUUUUAUUUGGUCUCAGGACAAGUAAAUUUACACAAUAACUGCACGUUUUAGUGUUUUGUACAUGGAUUAUUUGAAAUUUUAUGAGUCAAAUGUCCUUCAAUUCUGGAAUGACCCAUUAAUCUGAUUGUUUUUAGUCUGUGCGAAUCAUAAUUUAUGAAAGAUUCAGCCUCAUAGAAACCUACAUCUUGAGCUUGACUCACUCAAACGACAGCAUAAAUACUCCAUUAUUCAACCAGAACACAAAGCUGUCCUCUGCGUCACCUUAAACCUCUUAUUAUUUGGAUGGCAUGCUGAUUACUUCUGCAACCUUCAGAUACUCACAGCUCAGGAGGAUGUUUUUUAUUUCCACCUACUGAGGAAUAAACAGACAGAAAAAUAUGCGCCUUUAGUUCUGUGCUAAUAAAGCAGCUGAGACACCGCUGAGAAAUCAACAGUGCCUUUUCUCUAUUGGGCUGAGAAACUGUCGAGGCACUUGAGCUGCACUAUUUAUUGUCCUCACAGCUGAGAACGUUACCUCAGGUGAGAGAGCUGAGUGGCCGAUAAACAAACGAAAUUAAUAAGAGCAUCCGAACCCAUUGUACGAGCACCUGCUGCGAAUAAGUUUUUAUUGAAAUCCCGAAAGAAAUGAAGUUUGACGGGGCUUUUUUUUCUCCUUUUUGCAUCUUUUCGCCCGACUACACCUCUUAUCCCACCUGUUAUCAAAGUGACAAACCUGGCUGUCAACUUGAGCACUGACAUACACCCACAGUGAGGCGGUGGGUGUGGGGAGAUAAAAUGAUACACGAGGAGAUGACACAGGAUGAUUUGAGAAGAGAACAGGGGGCGGGAAGCUUCCGGUAAGUCAGCUUGAAAAGGUAUGAAAAUGCAAAAACUAUUCUGGCUGGAAAUGGCUGAUUUUUAAUGAAACUACUAUAGAGCAACUUUAGCCAAUAUGAACCAAUGCUGACUAAAGCAGAGCAACUUGAACUCAUUUUUGAGCAACUUUAAAUAAUAUAGAGCAACUUUAACUAAUGUAGAGCAACUUUAAUGUAGAGCAAUUUUAAUAUAUAAGGAGUAACUUUAACUCAUUAAGAGCAACUUUAACUAAUAUGGAGUAAUUUUAGCUCAUUUUUGAACAACUUUAAAUAGUAUAGAGCAAGUUUAACUAAUUUAGAGCAACUUUUUGUCAGUGCCGAUUAGAGGAUGAGCUGCAGCUGCAGGACUUGGGCAGCUGCAGUUAAUUUCUCAUCCGCCUCCACUAUAAAGUCCGGCGCUGGACUCUGCACACAGUGCCGGAUCAUUUUCUCUCCUCCUCUCAGUGACACGUACUGAGACUGAAAUUAGCCGACAGAGCAGCCUGCGUUUGUCCGAGCCGUCUGCCAGAUCGUAGACGCGGACCACUGCCGUCCUCCAGAACAGAGGACGUGGACCUUCCCCCCCCGACUGCUCCGAUUGGCUGGCCCGCUCCCCAGAAGGACCCGGGGUUGACCCUGGCCAUCACAGCCGCGCGCUGACCGGUUAAAUCUUUAAUUUGUUUGGAAGUAUUUUUAGGUGUGCGCUGCACAGAGGCCGGUGACAGGUGUGGCGUAUUGGCAAUCAGCUGAUUGUGCGCAGGUGGAAGCCAGAGGAUUACCGACUCCAUUCGUCGGUUGAUGCCGGACUGUCCUCGACCUUACAAAGCUGACUUUCACCUGCUUGUGGUCACCUGGCUCUGCUGGUUCCAUCAUCGUCUGCCUGGCCUCCGUUCUCUAGUGGAUUCCAUUCAGCCGUGGAGACUCCCCUGCCACCAGCCUUCCCCUCCUGGAGAACACCUACCGAGCCCUGGAACACUCCGUGCCUCCCUAAGACGUAUAACCACCUGCCCAAGCCUCCGGACGCCAUUCUCCAUCCUGGCCGUUCGAACCGGGGACUUCGUCUAAGGAUUGGAUGGAGUCUGCACCCCUCCCUAGUAGAACUACUUCCUGUUUAGUCAGCUAAGUUCUUAGCCCUAACGACACCAGACUGUUUUGUCUUGCUAUGUAUUUCGUAUUAGUGGGUUUUCAUAGUUACUCGUAGUUGUAGUCUGGGCUUUUAGUGGAGGUUAUUGCAGACUAGGUUCUUGGUUUUUUUUGGAUAGUUUAUUUCAGUUGUAUUCCUGCCCUGGUGUUACCAGUAUUGGGUUUACUUAGUUUCUGUUUUUUAGGAUUUGUAAUUGCCCUCCGAGCCACUAGAGGCUGUCUUGAUCUGUUUGUUCCCAUAGAGUAGGUUACACUUCUGGUUCCGGAAUUCAGUUCCUAGUUGGGAUUUGUAGUCCUUGAGUUUUUUGUGUGUAAAAGCUUUUUGUAAAUCGUGCAACUGCUUUCAUUGUUACUUUCAUUUCCUGCAUCUGAGCCUCUACACCUGCCGUAACAUUUUAUUCUUUUGUAUUAUUUUCGACAUUGUAGAUUCAUACUGAAGAUUAACAUUUUUUGUUUACAACAUAAUUCCAUAUAUAUUUGUAUGUGUACUUUUAUAGUUUUGAUGUAUUCAGUAUUAAUUUACAAUGUAUAAAAUAAUUAAAGAAAAACCAUUGAAUGAGAA